Molecule: ribosomal RNA, 426 nt
Filed under: uncultured marine eukaryote
Lineage: Eukaryota
Description: SSU rRNA
Rfam family: Eukaryotic small subunit ribosomal RNA
Source: RNAcentral
UUAAAAAGCUCGUAGUUGGAUUUCUGGACGGGUGCCAAGACCCGCUUGUUAGUGAGGACGCGGCGCCCGCCCAUCCAUCUGUUAACGUUGCCGGCAUUCGCUUGCUGGUGGCGGGCUCAGAUAUUUUACCUUGAGAAAAUUAGAGUGUUUCAGGCAGGCUUGCGCCUAGAUCCAUUAGCAUGGAAUAAUAGAAUAGGACCUUGGCCUCUUCUGUUGGUCUGAGGGGUUAGAGUAAUGAUUAAUAGGGAUAGUUGGGGGCAUUAGUACUUAACUGCUAGAGGUGAAAUUCUCAGAUUUGUUAAAGACUAACUUAUGCGAAAGCAUUUGCCAAGGAUGUUUUCGUUAGUCAAGAACGAAAGUUAGGGGAUCAAAGACGAUCAGAUACCGUCGUAGUCUUAACCAUAAACUAUGCCGACUCGGGAUCGG